RNAcentral lists this ribosomal RNA (517 nucleotides) under uncultured Staphylococcus sp. Its description in RNAcentral is "bacterial SSU rRNA". It matches the Rfam family "Bacterial small subunit ribosomal RNA", at positions 8 to 507 of the family's 1533-position model. The record is from RNAcentral. Lineage: Bacteria; Bacillati; Bacillota; Bacilli; Caryophanales; Staphylococcaceae.
AGAGUUUGAUCCUGGCUCAGGAUGAACGCUGGCGGCGUGCCUAAUACAUGCAAGUCGAGCGAACAGAUAAGGAGCUUGCUCCUUUGACGUUAGCGGCGGACGGGUGAGUAACACGUGGGUAACCUACCUAUAAGACUGGAAUAACUCCGGGAAACCGGGGCUAAUGCCGGAUAAUAUUUAGAACCGCAUGGUUCUAAAGUGAAAGAUGGUUUUGCUAUCACUUAUAGAUGGACCCGCGCCGUAUUAGCUAGUUGGUGGGGUAAUGGCUUACCAAGGCAACGAUACGUAGCCGACCUGAGAGGGUGAUCGGCCACACUGGAACUGAGACACGGUCCAGACUCCUACGGGAGGCAGCAGUAGGGAAUCUUCCGCAAUGGGCGAAAGCCUGACGGAGCAACGCCGCGUAAGUGAUGAAGGUCUUCGGAUCGUAAAACUCUGUUAUUAGGGAAGAACAAAUGUGUAAGUAACUGUGCACGUCUUGACGGUACCUAAUCAGAAAGCCACGGCUAACUACGUG